UACGUAGGGGGCAAGCGUUGUCCGGAAUCACUGGGCGUAAAGGGCGCGUAGGCGGUUCGUUAAGUUGCUGGUGAAAUCCCGGGGCUCAACUCCGGGGCUGCCGGCAAGACUGGCGGGCUAGAGCACGGUAGAGGCGGAUGGAAUUCCCGGUGUAGCGGUGGAAUGCGUAGAUAUCGGGAAGAAUACCGGUGGCGAAGGCGUUCCGCUGGGCCGUUGCUGACGCUGAGGCGCGACAGCGUGGGGAGCAAACAGG
This 253-nucleotide ribosomal RNA is filed under the name uncultured bacterium. RNAcentral describes it as "partial 16S ribosomal RNA". It matches the Rfam family "Bacterial small subunit ribosomal RNA", at positions 524 to 776 of the family's 1533-position model. The record is from RNAcentral.